CCUAUAUGAGCCAGUCCAUGCGAAAAGGUACAAAAACGAAAAAUUAACGAAAAUCUAAAAAGUGUGCAUAAUUAUUGGUAGUAGACUUGAGAUUUAUAAAACACAUUUACUUUUCCUCAUAUCAUCAAGCUGUGAGCUACACGCACCUGCAAGUGUUGGGACCCCCCCCCCCCGUAGUUUUAUCAAGAUUUUUAGUGAACUAAUUCAUAUAUUUCAAUAAUUUUCAAAGUACAGUUUAAAUGGCUUGAUUUGCCAAUUGAUAAUGUUAACCCCGGUAGCAGUGGGGAUAAGGCUCCCGCUUACGAUGCGGAUAUCAAUGUAAUCAAACCGGGCAACGGUUCGAAUCCCGUGCAACUAAGGUUGAUUUAAAUAAUAUUAAAUAACUUAACUUAACUUAAAUUUCAAUUUCUAAAACACAAGAUGUCAUAGUUUUUGUAUUUUCCCUCGUGUUUUAAUGUUGUCUUACUUUCUUUAAACCUGUAGAACUGACGGAAAUUAUUGACUUUUGUCUCUGUAGUGUCGUAAAUUUUUAAGUUUCUGGUCGGUAUAGCAUUAGUCCGGGGAACAAAUGAUUUUACACUUGCUCAAAUACCAAAAAUUCAGAUAUUUCUACGUCUUUUUCUGUUUUAGUUGACAAAUUCGGGAUAGAAUUGACAAUCUUAUGAAUGUUUACAUUAAUGUAAUUUUUUUCGGAUAAAAUCGUUUUUGAAAAAUACUAUAACAAACUUUGAUAACGUGUCCUGUAAAGUUUACCAAAAGGACUUUUUGUACCUUUUCGCAUGGACUGGCUCAUAUAUAA
Molecule: long non-coding RNA, 799 nt
Filed under: Mytilus galloprovincialis (Mediterranean mussel)
Lineage: Eukaryota; Metazoa; Mollusca; Bivalvia; Mytilida; Mytilidae
Source: RNAcentral